UUAGAUNCCCUAUUAUUAAGGAGGGCAGAAUCUAGUAGGCGCAGAAAGGCUGAGUAGUUAAGAAGCAUGGCGGUCUGUUGGCAAGAUAGAGGGAUAUGUCUAACAAGUGAAACUGCACAGAUUUCUUACUUCCUCUGGAUAUCAACCAUCUUGUACACCGCUAUCUGAAAUGUGGGACAGAUCGUCCUGUUUUCCCUUGAUUGUUUUUAAUAUAUAUAUUUGUGUAUAGAAUAAUAAAUAAAUUAAUCUUUAGGACCUAUAAGUUAAGUUGAGGUGCAGACUAUGGGGAAGCAGAAGAUGUAUUCCAGUAAUAGUGGUUGAAGUGAUAGAUGUAGAUAAUGUUGAUUACAUUUAGAAUUUAUAAGUAAAUAGAGCUCACAAAUCUCCUUUGAAAGGUGCAACAAUAGAUGUACACAUCGCCCGUCGCUC
This 429-nucleotide ribosomal RNA is filed under the name Craspedorrhynchus hirsutus. RNAcentral describes it as "partial 12S ribosomal RNA". The record is from RNAcentral. Lineage: Eukaryota; Metazoa; Arthropoda; Insecta; Psocodea; Philopteridae.